GGGUUGUGAGGUUAAGCGACUAAGCGUACACGGUGGAUGCCCUGGCAGUCAGAGGCGAUGAAGGGCGUACUAAUCUGCGAUAAGCGCCGGUAAGGUGAUAUGAACCGUUAUAACCGGCGAUACCCGAAUGGGGAAACCCAGUGUGAUUCGUCACACUAUCAUUAACUGAAUCCAUAGGUUAAUGAGGCGAACCGGGGGAACUGAAACAUCUAAGUACCCCGAGGAAAAGAAAUCAACCGAGAUUCCCCCAGUAGCGGCGAGCGAACGGGGAGGAGCCCAGAGCCUGAAUCAGCAUGUGUGUUAGUGGAAGCGUCUGGAAAGGCGCGCGAUACAGGGUGACAGCCCCGUACACAAAAGCGCAUGUGCUGUGAGCUCGAUGAGUAGGGCGGGACACGUGGUAUCCUGUCUGAAUAUGGGGGGACCAUCCUCCAAGGCUAAAUACUCCUGACUGACCGAUAGUGAACCAGUACCGUGAGGGAAAGGCGAAAAGAACCCCGGCGAGGGGAGUGAAAAAGAACCUGAAACCGUGUACGUACAAGCAGUGGGAGCCCCACCACCAAAGCAUUUGCUGUACCGCGUUGACGGAGCGAAGCGACGUCAAACCGAUAAAACAGCAGUGUAAAGUGAGCCGCAGGGCGCUUUGCGCGACAGCGCAAAGGCAGGCGGUUUCGCGUAGCGAAAGCGAAUGCUUUGGGGUGGGGUGACUGCGUACCUUUUGUAUAAUGGGUCAGCGACUUAUAUUCUGUAGCAAGGUUAACCGAAUAGGGGAGCCGGAGGGAAACCGAGUCUUAAUUGGGCGUUAAGUUGCAGGGUAUAGACCCGAAACCCGGUGAUCUAGCCAUGGGCAGGUUGAAGGUUGGGUAACACUAACUGGAGGACCGAACCGACUAAUGUUGAAAAAUUAGCGGAUGACCUGUGGCUGGGGGUGAAAGGCCAAUCAAACCGGGAGAUAGCUGGUUCUCCCCGAAAGCUAUUUAGGUAGCGCCUCGUGAAUUCAUCUCCGGGGGUAGAGCACUGUUUCGGCUAGGGGGCCAUCCCGGCUUACCAACCCGAUGCAAACUGCGAAUACCGGAGAAUGUUAUCACGGGAGACACACGGCGGGUGCUAACGUCCGUCGUGAAGAGGGAAACAACCCAGACCGCCAGCUAAGGUCCCAAAGUCAUGGUUAAGUGGGAAACGAUGUGGGAAGGCCCAGACAGCCAGGAUGUUGGCUUAGAAGCAGCCAUCAUUUAAAGAAAGCGUAAUAGCUCACUGGUCGAGUCGGCCUGCGCGGAAGAUGUAACGGGGCUAAACCAUGCACCGAAGCUGCGGCAGCGACACUGUGUGUUGUUGGGUAGGGGAGCGUUCUGUAAGCCUGCGAAGGUGGCCUGUGAGGGUUGCUGGAGGUAUCAGAAGUGCGAAUGCUGACAUAAGUAACGAUAAAGCGGGUGAAAAGCCCGCUCGCCGGAAGACCAAGGGUUCCUGUCCAACGUUAAUCGGGGCAGGGUGAGUCGACCCCUAAGGCGAGGCCGAAAGGCGUAGUCGAUGGGAAACGGGUUAAUAUUCCCGUACUUGGUGUUACUGCGAAGGGGGGACGGAGAAGGCUAUGUUGGCCGGGCGACGGUUGUCCCGGUUUAAGCGUGUAGGUGUGUGUUCCAGGUAAAUCCGGUUCACUUUAACACUGAGGCGUGACGACGAGGCACUACGGUGCUGAAGCAACAAAUGCCCUGCUUCCAGGAAAAGCCUCUAAGCAUCAGGUAACAUCAAAUCGUACCCCAAACCGACACAGGUGGUCAGGUAGAGAAUACCAAGGCGCUUGAGAGAACUCGGGUGAAGGAACUAGGCAAAAUGGUGCCGUAACUUCGGGAGAAGGCACGCUGACACGUAGGUGAAGUGAUUUACUCAUGGAGCUGAAGUCAGUCGAAGAUACCAGCUGGCUGCAACUGUUUAUUAAAAACACAGCACUGUGCAAACACGAAAGUGGACGUAUACGGUGUGACGCCUGCCCGGUGCCGGAAGGUUAAUUGAUGGGGUCAGCGCAAGCGAAGCUCCUGAUCGAAGCCCCGGUAAACGGCGGCCGUAACUAUAACGGUCCUAAGGUAGCGAAAUUCCUUGUCGGGUAAGUUCCGACCUGCACGAAUGGCGUAAUGAUGGCCAGGCUGUCUCCACCCGAGACUCAGUGAAAUUGAACUCGCUGUGAAGAUGCAGUGUACCCGCGGCAAGACGGAAAGACCCCGUGAACCUUUACUAUAGCUUGACACUGAACAUUGAGCCUUGAUGUGUAGGAUAGGUGGGAGGCUUUGAAGUGUGGACGCCAGUCUGCAUGGAGCCGACCUUGAAAUACCACCCUUUAAUGUUUGAUGUUCUAACGUGGACCCGUUACCCGGGUUGCGGACAGUGUCUGGUGGGUAGUUUGACUGGGGCGGUCUCCUCCUAAAGAGUAACGGAGGAGCACGAAGGUUGGCUAAUCCUGGUCGGACAUCAGGAGGUUAGUGCAAUGGCAUAAGCCAGCUUGACUGCGAGCGUGACGGCGCGAGCAGGUGCGAAAGCAGGUCAUAGUGAUCCGGUGGUUCUGAAUGGAAGGGCCAUCGCUCAACGGAUAAAAGGUACUCCGGGGAUAACAGGCUGAUACCGCCCAAGAGUUCAUAUCGACGGCGGUGUUUGGCACCUCGAUGUCGGCUCAUCACAUCUGGGGCUGAAGUAGGUCCCAAGGGUAUGGCUGUUCGCCAUUUAAAGUGGUACGCGAGCUGGGUUUAGAACGUCGUGAGACAGUUCGGUCCCUAUCUGCCGUGGGCGCUGGAGAACUGAGGGGGGCUGCUCCUAGUACGAGAGGACCGGAGUGGACGCAUCACUGGUGUUCGGGUUGUCAUGCCAAUGGCACUGCCCGGUAGCUAAAUGCGGAAGAGAUAAGUGCUGAAAGCAUCUAAGCACGAAACUUGCCCCGAGAUGAGUUCUCCCUGAGACUUAAAGUCUCCUGAAGGAACGUUGAAGACGACGACGUUGAUAGGCCGGGUGUGUAAGCGCAGCGAUGCGUUGAGCUAACCGGUACUAAUGAACCGUGAGGCUUAACCUUACAACGCCGAAG
This 3064-nucleotide ribosomal RNA is filed under the name Salmonella enterica subsp. enterica serovar Enteritidis str. EC20120994. Its description in RNAcentral is "bacterial LSU rRNA". It matches the Rfam family "Bacterial large subunit ribosomal RNA". The record is from RNAcentral. Lineage: Bacteria; Pseudomonadati; Pseudomonadota; Gammaproteobacteria; Enterobacterales; Enterobacteriaceae.